This 805-nucleotide ribosomal RNA is filed under the name uncultured Actinomycetes bacterium. RNAcentral's name for it is "bacterial SSU rRNA". It matches the Rfam family "Bacterial small subunit ribosomal RNA", at positions 558 to 1362 of the family's 1533-position model. The record is from RNAcentral. Lineage: Bacteria; Bacillati; Actinomycetota; Actinomycetes.
GCGUAAAGAGCUCGUAGGUGGUUUGUCGCGUCGUCUGUGAAAUCCCGGGGCUUAACCUCGGGCGUGCAGGCGAUACGGGCAUAACUUGAGUGCUGUAGGGGAGACUGGAAUUCCUGGUGUAGCGGUGAAAUGCGCAGAUAUCAGGAGGAACACCGGUGGCGAAGGCGGAUCUCUGGGCCUUACCUGACGCUGAGGCGCGAAAGCUAGGGGAGCGAACAGGAUUAGAUACCCUGGUAGUCCUAGCCGUAAACGUUGGGUGCUAGGUGUGGGCGGAUAUCGACCCCGUCCGUGCCGAAGCUAACGCAUUAAGCACCCCGCCUGGGGAGUACGGCCGCAAGGCUAAAACUCAAAGGAAUUGACGGGGCCCCGCACAAGCGGCGGAGCAUGCGGCUUAAUUCGAUGCAACGCGAAGAACCUUACCUGGGUUUGACAUGCAGGGUGAAACCCGUGAAAGCGGGCGCUCUUCGGAGCCUGCACAGGUGGUGCAUGGCUGUCGUCAGCUCGUGCCGUGAGGUGUUGCCUUAAGUGGCGCAACGAGCGCAACCCCUGUCCUUAGUUGCCAGCGGAUCAUGCCGGGAACUCUAGGGAGACUGCCGGUGCCAAACCGGAGGAAGGUGGGGAUGACGUCAAGUCAGCAUGCCCCUUAUACCCAGGGCUGCACGCAUGCUACAAUGCGCGAUACAGAGGGCUGCGAUCCCGUAAGGGGGAGCGAAUCCCAAAAAGUCGCGCUCAGUUCGGAUCGAGGUCUGCAACCCGACCUCGUGAAGCCGGAGUCGCUAGUAAUCGCAGAUCAGCACUGCUGCGG